This 227-nucleotide ribosomal RNA is filed under the name uncultured bacterium. Its description in RNAcentral is "partial 16S ribosomal RNA". It matches the Rfam family "Bacterial small subunit ribosomal RNA", at positions 1265 to 1500 of the family's 1533-position model. The record is from RNAcentral.
AUGCGGAUCUCGAAAGCCUGUCCCAGUUCGGACUGGAGUCUGCAACCCGACUCCACGAAGUUGGAUUCGCUAGUAAUCGCGCAUCAGCCAUGGCGCGGUGAAUACGUUCCCGGGCCUUGUACACACCGCCCGUCAAGCCAUGGGAGCCGGGGGCGCCUGAAGUCCGGGACCGCGAGGACCGGCCUAGGGCGAAACUGGUAACUGGGGCUAAGUCGUAACAAGGUAUC